Molecule: non-coding RNA, 1879 nt
Organism: Podarcis lilfordi (Lilford's wall lizard)
Lineage: Eukaryota; Metazoa; Chordata; Lepidosauria; Squamata; Lacertidae
Source: the annotation of a GenBank genome assembly
AGAAAUAUGGAUUGUGUGUAGUAAGUGCCAGACAAACACCGGGAGUGGUGUGUGAUUGUGUGUGUGUAAGUAUGACAGGCUCCAAGCCUGCUGGAGAAUUUUCUUGCUAUGUGUGUACCAUCAUCAUCAUCAUUCAAAGGUUAAGGGGACGCAAUUGCCAGUGACUGUCCUGUUUGUCUGUAUCAUUCAGUAAUCAUAGAAUCAUAGAAUCAUAGAGUUGGAAGAGACCACAAGGGCCAUCGAGUCCAACCCCCUGCCAAGCAGGAACACCAUCAGAGCACUCCUGACAUAUGGUUGUCAAGCCUCUGCUUAAAGACCUCCAAAGAAGGAGACUCCACCACACUCCUUGGCAGCAAAUUCCACUGUCGAACAGCUCUUACUGUCAGGAAGUUCUUCCUAAUGUUUAGGUGGAAUCUUCUUUCUUGUAGUUUGGAUCCAUUGCUCCGUGUCCGCUUCUCUGGAGCAGCAGAAAACAACCUUUCUCCCUCCUCUAUGUGACAUCCUUUGAUAUAUUUGAACAUGGCUAUCAUAUCACCCCUUAACCUCCUCUUCUCCAGGCUAAACAUGCCCAGCUCUCUUAGCCGUUCCUCAUAAGGCAUCGUUUCCAGGCCUUUGACCAUUUUGGUUGCCCUCCUCUGGACACGUUCCAGUUUGUCAAUGUCCUUCUUGAACUGUGGUGCCCAGAACUGGACACAGUACUCCAGGUGAGGUCUGACCAGAGCAGAAUACAGUGGCACUAUUACUUCCCUUGAUCUAGAUGCUAUACUCCUAUUGAUGCAGCCCAGAAUUGCAUUGGCUUUUUAGCUGCCGCGUCACACUGUUGGCUCAUGUCAAGUUUGUAGUCAACCAAGACUCCUAGAUCCUUUUCACAUGUACUGCUCUCAAGCCAGGUGUCCCCCAUCUUGUAUUUGUGCCUCUCAUUUUUUUGCCCAAGUGCGAUACUUUACAUUUCUCCUGUUAAAAUUCAUCUUGUUUGUUUUGGCCCAGUUCUCUAAUCUGUCAAGGUCGUUUUGAAGUGUGAUCCUGUCCUCUGGGGUGUUAGCCACCCCUCCCAAUUUGGUGUCAUCUGCAAAUUUGAUCAGGAUGCUCUUGAGUCCAUCAUGCAAAGGUCUGCAGUCCAUCACUCUCAGUGUUAAUGUUAUCAGGGAACAGGUCCUCCUACACUUUUGAAAAAGUGGUCUAGAGCAGCCGAUUUAAGAAGAAAGGUUUGUGGGGGUAGCAACUUACUUCAGGGGAGCAAAUUCUUAUCUGGCCAAAUGUCUAGUCUAGACAAUCGUUUUGACUGCACAUUUUUAGGCUACUGUUCCACACAUACUCAUUGAGCACAGUGGGAUCUGUUUCUGAAUAAGCAUGCAAAGGAUUAGGCUGUGAGUUGGUUUCCUCUGUGCCCUACAUUGUGUGUGUCAAAGCAGACAUUAAAGAUAAUGACUGGGGAAAAUAGCUGCAAUCUGCAGUGUCAAAAGAUCAGUUUUUUUAAAGAGCAAAAAUAGAUAAUAUCACAGGCAAGAUUUUUAAAAGGGCUAUUUCAAAGCAUUACAGCCAACUUAAGAAAAUUACAGUCCCGCUUAUGGUUUCCUUUUUAGGGCAAAGCUAAUGGCUUCUGAAUCAGAUUGUUUCCUUUUCUCUUUAAGCUGAACUGUGACCCCCCCCAUAAAAGAUGGUAACACAUCCACAAAAUGUGGCAUCUCAAGACUGCACUCCGUACUAAAACAAGUAUAGGCACAGACAACAAACCCAGAAAAAUGUUGCCUUGCAGAAGACAAAUCCACCAGGCAUUGAUGUCACUUGGCUACUUUGACCUUGGUGGUGGCAACAAGUCCUACUGCCCCUCCAGUGUGAGAGUCUGCCACUGAGUCAACUAAUGAAGAAACAGCAUGUG